AAAGUCGUAACAAGGUCUCCGUUGGUGAACCAGCGGAGGGAUCAUUACAGAGUUGCAAAACUCCCAACCCUUUGUGAACGAACCUACCAGUUGCUUCGGCGGAAAGUCCUUCAGAGGGCAGCCCGCCGAAGGUCUACAAACUCUUGUUUUUUUGGCAUCUCUGAGUAGCUUAUAAAAUAAGUUAAAACUUUCAACAACGGAUCUCUUGGUUCUG
This 214-nucleotide unclassified non-coding RNA is filed under the name Ascomycota sp. RNAcentral's name for it is "partial contains small subunit ribosomal RNA, internal transcribed spacer 1, and 5.8S ribosomal RNA". The stretch from base 1 to 47 matches the Rfam family "Eukaryotic small subunit ribosomal RNA", at positions 1785 to 1831 of the family's 1831-position model. Lineage: Eukaryota; Fungi; Ascomycota. The record is from RNAcentral.